Long non-coding RNA from Lepidothrix coronata (blue-crowned manakin), 1340 nucleotides. RefSeq lists it as uncharacterized. Lineage: Eukaryota; Metazoa; Chordata; Aves; Passeriformes; Pipridae. The record is from RefSeq and is a predicted model, not a curated record. The transcript is spliced from 4 exons.
CUGAAGCAAAAAGAGACCCAGAGAACUUCAGAAAUGGAGCAAAGAGCAAGGGGUUUUAUAUUUAUAAAGGCACCAGAAUUUCAGACACAUCAGAACAUGGAACAUCUCGAGUCCUGAAAGACAGGUUGUCACUCACCUUCCAGGUGUGAAGGGCACGUGGACAGCUCCAUAACCUCUGACCACGUCGUGUCCGAAGAAGUCAGGCCCGUAAACACUCAGCACAAUCUGUGGCCCUGCAAGGAAAGAGGUGUGAGAGGAGGGGCUGCUCUGGGGGCUGGAAAUCCCCCCCCAGCACUCACAGCCAAAAGGGUUGGUGCUCUUGAAGGUGAUGUCGAUGGGGAAGUUCCACACGAGCGUGGUGGGUGAGACGUCGCUCUUGGAGGGACCACAACGCGACGGGGCUGGGCUGGUGACACGACGGUGUUGGCUUGGUGAUGUGACAGUGCUGGCCCUUUGGGACCGUGGUCGUGCCACUGCUCCUGCCAGGAAUCUUUGCUGCCCACGCUCACGUCAGCGCCACUGAGACUCACCAGCCCGGCCACCAUCUGCCACGGUUCAUCCCUUCGCCUCCUUUCUCCAUCCCACACCACUGUGCUGUGCCCAGGUUGGAUCCCAGCUCCAGAAGAACCAUUCCUGGUGUCCCUUUAGCACUGACUCCCCCGCCAAAGGCAUGUCAAGAAGCUGAGGGAUUUAUGUUUUCUUCAUUCCCAGAAAGAGCCAGGGGUUGGAAAAAAUCCAAACUACUUGGAGCUCUGUCACUGAGAGCUUCUGAAUCAAGCUCUGUACCAUGAGCUGAACAGGCUGCCUGGCUCUGGGUCCAUUGGCUCCCAGAGAACUCUUGGAGUGUCCGUGUGCCCUCGAUUUCCUAGGGAUUGCCUCCACACUUGUGUGAGUGGGAAUUGAGCCCUGGAGAAUGAGAGAGCAACGAGGGGCUCCCCUUCUCCUGGGAAAAGCUGCCAGGCAGCUGUGACAGGGAUACCUGGGGGCUGGAUCUCCUGCCGUGCCCAUCGCCCAUCACCCUGGCUCUGGGCUCUUGCAGUGCAGCAGCAGCAGCAGCAGAUCCCUGUGCUGCUGCCUGGGAAAGGGAGUGGAUGGACAUCCAGUGCUGCUGGGAGGUAGCAGGAAGCAGGUACUUUGUCUCUCUUACCUGUUCAACUCUGAUUACAGCAGCCUCGGGGCUGAUCCAUCGCUGCCAACAGGAGCUCGGGGAAGGUGGGAGAGACACAAACAAAAAUACAGUGGCACGGCAAACAGAAGUUUAUUUUUAAUCCCAAAUAUUUAUGAUCAACACCUGCUAAAUGGCCAGUGAAAUACAUUUUAUGGCAUCAUUUAUCUGCAAU